GCGCCAGUAGCUCAGAUGGAUAGAGCGGCAGCCUUCUAAGCUGUAGGUCGGGGGUUCGAUUCCCUCCUGGCGCACCA
Molecule: transfer RNA, 77 nt
Filed under: Gemmatimonadaceae bacterium
Lineage: Bacteria; Pseudomonadati; Gemmatimonadota; Gemmatimonadia; Gemmatimonadales; Gemmatimonadaceae
Also listed under: 2 other names
Description: tRNA-Arg
Rfam family: tRNA
About the family: Transfer RNA (tRNA) molecules are approximately 80 nucleotides in length. Their secondary structure includes four short double-helical elements and three loops (D, anti-codon, and T loops). Further hydrogen bonds mediate the characteristic L-shaped molecular structure. tRNAs have two regions of fundamental functional importance: the anti-codon, which is responsible for specific mRNA codon recognition, and the 3' end, to which the tRNAs corresponding amino acid is attached (by aminoacyl-tRNA synthetases). tRNAs cope with the degeneracy of the genetic code in two manners: having more than one tRNA (with a specific anti-codon) for a particular amino acid; and 'wobble' base-pairing, i.e. permitting non-standard base-pairing at the 3rd anti-codon position.
Source: RNAcentral